GAUGCGGGCUCCGGACUUUGACAAUCCCCCAGUGCGAUCCCAGGUCAGGCGGGGCUACCCGCUGAGUUUAAGCAUAUCAAUAAGCGGAGGAAAAGAAACUAACGAGGAU
Molecule: ribosomal RNA, 109 nt
Filed under: Bellucia arborescens
Lineage: Eukaryota; Viridiplantae; Streptophyta; Magnoliopsida; Myrtales; Melastomataceae
Description: partial 26S ribosomal RNA
Rfam family: Eukaryotic large subunit ribosomal RNA (bases 35-109)
Source: RNAcentral